UACACGCUGUGACUAGCAUAUCAAUAAGCGGAGGAAAAGAAACUAACAAGGAUUCCCUUAGUAACGGCGAGUGAAGCGGGAAGAGCUCAAAUUUGAAAUCUUAAAGGGUUUCCCUUUACGAAUUGUAGUUUAAAGAAGUGUUUUCUGUUGAGGUUUUGGUAAAAGUUCUUUGGAAUAGGACAUCAUAGAGGGUGAGAAUCCCGUAUUUGACCUUUACUUUCAACUUUGUGAUACACUUUCAAAGAGUCGGAUUGUUUGGGAAUGCAGUCCAAAAUGGGUGGUAAAUUUCAUCUAAAGCUAAAUAUUGGCGAGAGACCGAUAGCGAACAAGUACCGUGAGGGAAAGAUGAAGAGAACUUUGAAAAGAGAGUUAAACAGUACGUGAAAUUGUCAAAAGGGAAGCGUUUGACACCAGUGUUGUUUUUCUGAAAAUCAAUUAAAGAACUGUUUAUGCUAAGCUGUUUAGACUUUAUCAGCUAACUGUUUAGUUUUGAGCUUUUCUUUAAUGCACUUUUCAGUUAACAAGUCAACAUCAAUUUCUUUUGCUGUAAAAAAGCUUGAGGAAGGUGGCUUGAGAUUCGUCUUAAGUGUUUAUAGCCUCUUGCCUAUGCAGUCGGAGAGAUUGAGGUCUGCAGCGUAGAUCCUUCGGGGCUAAAUGCAUUUGUGCUAAGUUAUAGCAUUUUAUAGACAACUUGUUGACUAUGAUUUGUCUUGUAGCUUACUCGCUUAUGUUAUUUUACCUACGCUUAGGAUGUUGAUAUGCAUGACUGAUAU
Molecule: ribosomal RNA, 773 nt
Filed under: uncultured Neocallimastigales
Lineage: Eukaryota; Fungi; Neocallimastigomycota; Neocallimastigomycetes; Neocallimastigales
Description: partial large subunit ribosomal RNA
Rfam family: Eukaryotic large subunit ribosomal RNA
Source: RNAcentral